Long non-coding RNA from Carassius gibelio (silver crucian carp), 517 nucleotides. RefSeq lists it as uncharacterized. The record is from RefSeq and is a predicted model, not a curated record. The transcript is spliced from 2 exons. Lineage: Eukaryota; Metazoa; Chordata; Actinopteri; Cypriniformes; Cyprinidae.
GGGCCGUGCACAGGGGGGUGGCCCGGUGGCCAGAGCCACUGCCCCUCUGCCCUCAUCGACUGAGGUGCCCCUUUUCCCCACCGCUCCGCUCAAAGCAUUCCGGUGAUUGCGCGAAUCCGCUCCAGGUUUUCCCGCUCGCUCCGCAGCAUCACUCACAGUAUGUGUCUGCGGCGCUUGUGAACACGACAGUUCACGAAAGCUGUCGCAUUAACAGCUGCUGAAAAUCUGUGGAACACUACCUGUCUCAACAGCCACUGUUGAACGCUCAUUCUCGAAGUUGAAGCUGGUGAAAACAAAACUUCGUAAUGCGUGUGGACAGGAACGACUCUCUGAUCUUCUGCUUCUGGCCAUUGAAAAAGACAUCCCAAUCAUAAAAGAUGAGGUUAUUAAGAUCUUUCAGGACAUAGUACCAAUUAAAAAAGUGUUGCUGUAAAUGGAACAAGUAAAUAUAAAAAAGGAUCAGUAAUGUGUAAUUGUGAUGUUCUAUCAAAACUUCUACAAUAAAGUCUGAAAUGUA